AACCUAGCACACCUGCGGUGUGUACCUGCGGAAGGAUCAUUACCGAGUUUACAACUCCCAAACCCCUGUGAACAUGUUGCCUCGGCGGAUCAGCCCGCUCCCGGUAAAACGGGACGGCCCGCCAGAGGACCCCUAAACUCUGUUUCUAUAUGUAACUUCUGAGUAAAACCAUAAAUAAAUCAAAACUUUCAACAACGGAUCU
This 202-nucleotide unclassified non-coding RNA is filed under the name soil metagenome. RNAcentral describes it as "partial contains 5.8S ribosomal RNA, internal transcribed spacer 2, and large subunit ribosomal RNA". The record is from RNAcentral.